Long non-coding RNA from Corvus hawaiiensis (hawaiian crow), 3064 nucleotides. RefSeq lists it as uncharacterized. NCBI's taxonomy places the organism in Eukaryota, Metazoa, Chordata, Aves, Passeriformes, Corvidae. The transcript is spliced from 4 exons. The record is from RefSeq and is a predicted model, not a curated record.
CGUACGAGGCGGCGAGGCAGCGGCGCUGGGCCGGGUGCGCCUGCCCCGGGCACGCCGGGCAGGUGUCGGGGCGCCGGACCCCGUCCCGCCGAGGUCUGUCAGUUGUAUGAUCCUUGAGCAUUCCCUCUUGUGCUGCUCCCCACCGGUGUGUCUGGCCCUGCUGAGGCUUCUGUGGUUGUAAUAAAGUGCAGUGGCUUCACUUCGGGUACAAUCCUUUGACAGGGAAGAGAGUCAUGCCCCAAGCAAAAUCUGACUGCUGAGGAAGCAGCGUUUCCAGCUGUCAUUUAUAAUUCUUUAAUGACAUACAUGCCUUGAAUAAACCAUACAUUUCAAAAUGGUUUGUAGAAGGAAAAAAGCCUUUCAUGCUUUUGCACUGUACUUUUUGUAAUGACUUUUAUCAGCCUAUGACUGAAAAUUUGUCUCCAUUUUGGAACUUUCUGUAAUGGAUUGAGACAAAAUCUAAUUUUGUACUUCGCAUACUCCGUGGGCCAAACAGAUCCUUCAUUUAAUUCCAUUAAGCGGGUUUUGCAGAGAAAGGAGUAAUUUACAGGAAGCACUUGGCCCCAAACCCCCUUCAAAGUGACUGGCAGAUUAGCAAUGGCACAGGCACAUGGAAAUGGGUGCAGCCUCCUUCAUAUGGGUGGAAGAUGAAACCUCGAGCGGCAGGAUGUUUUCUGGCGCAAAGGGAUGUUACCCAGCAGUGCUGCUGCCCUCCGAGCUUGCUCAGGUGCUCACCCACCGCUGCCUUUGCGUGUCACCCGGAGGACGCCGCCUGCGCUGAUGCAGACACUGAUUGUGCUGCUCCACAGCCCUGACAGCGCUCACUAACCUGGAUUUGAUGUGGCAUGACAAGACACCAACUUCUGCUCUGGCAGUGAGACUGUUCACGUGCGGUGCAGUCUGACAGAGUCUCCCAGGACGUUUGAGUCGUGUCCGUGCGUAAUGGCCUUGUGCAGUUAAGUGGAGCACGCUGUCUGAGAUGAAAGUCAAAUUUCAGAGCAGGCUUGCUUUCCUCCCCUCCCUCUCCCUCCACCAGUGCCGCUUUCACCACCGCAACGGGAUGUCUUCCUGUUUCCCCGUCGCUCCCCAAAACACACAAGCCCUCCUUCCUGCAUGGUGUAACUAAUCUGGUUUGCUGACUGAGAUCUGCUGGGGCCUUUAAAGUGAUGCCAGCUACUACGUACUCAGUGUAGCAUGGCAGCAUUUCAGAGUGAAACUAAAAAUCCAAAUCCAAUAAGCAAGGAAAUAACCAUAAAGAAGCAGCCCUGGUUUCCAUUCUGUCCAUCAGCUUGCUGCCUGGUGGGGCAGCUUUGCACUAAAAGUUGGCCAUGGACCAUAUGUUAGAAGUAUGAAGACCUCUUUUUUCCCUCUUUAAGCUCAAAUCUAUGAAGAGAUGCAUUUUUUAAAAUCCUAUAGGAAAAUCACAUUAUUUUCAGGGAUGAGCUUUCAGGCAGUUUGGGUUCUUUUUUCUCUCUGUUGGGAUUAGCAAACAGCAGCAAAACUCACCCUUCUCUUCCUAAAUCCCCAUUCAAAAUGGAGGGGAGGUUACUCAAGCUCAGGUUUUGUUCUUUUGAGAUUUAACUGAAAGAGAGUUUCAGUGAGGAGGUUGUGAUCCUGUAAGGUGCUGGCUUUCAUGAAAAUUAGCAGAACAAUUUUGUGAAAAAUAUUUGCAUUUCAAGUGAAUGCAGAUUAGUAAGACUUUUAUGGUGAAAAAGACUUUCAUGGUUUUGUGAAGAAAACAGGUUAAAUGAUUUCUUGUUUGUUUAGUUUGUGGAGAGAAGAUGACUUUUCAAAAAAGCCUAAAGAACUCUCAAAACACAGCUACUGAACAUCAUGUAGGGGAACAGGAUAUGACAAAAACCCAAAGUAAUGGGGGAGGCCAUCCAUAGUGCCAGAAUGGGUCCUGGAAGUAGGGAGAUGCUUGCUUUUGGAGAAGAAUGGAGCGGGUGCUGGAAGCUCCAUGGCUCUCUAAAAUGGCAGAGCGAUGCUCUCUUCUGCCAGAGCGUUCCAAGAGAAAACGGUUCUUACAUGGUUUCAUCAGGCCAAUUUUAACUUUUAUUUUAUUUCUAUUGUACAAAACAAAUAAAGAAAUUUGCCAGUGUAAGGAGGAUUAAGAGGGGAUAAUCCAUUUUUGUGACUCAUUCCGAUAAGAAAUCUCCCUGUAGCCUUCCAUCUGAAGACAGUUGCUGACAGAUUGUACAAAAUAUGUCCCUGCAUUUUUAGGACCCUGAGACAGCAUCUUGCAAGCAGAUAAAACCAAAUAAAACCUGACAAACCAUCUUUGUACUGGAGAGAUGAGAAGAAAAUGCAGAUAGUUUCUGCUAGAGGAUUUGAAAAUGAAGCUAUGAGGAAGGGAAUUUAGUUUUAACUUAAACUCCUUAAAUGUUCUCUUGAACAUGAAGUAUCUCAGUUAAUUAAAAGUUAUUGCAUAACUGCUGCUAGGGAGUGAAAAGUUUAUUUUUAAUUAUACUGCCUUACAUAAUUGUUACAUGAUGACAGAGGCAGCAUGAUGAAGUGAAAGAGAUUUAACUAUACUUUUUUAAUACAGUGAAAUUAAAAAGUGAGGUGUUGAUGCAUUAAUUCCUCCUUGACUAGUACCUGGAUCUGUUUCAUGAUCUCUGCUUCAGCACUUGGUUUUUAAGGACAGUAUCUAUUUGUUCUGUACUUGUACAGCCCACGGCUGUGAUGACAACUUCUUGAGUGUGGUAUUCAUCAAGAUAAUAAAUAAUCUUGUCCACUUUCAGCUUCUCCUUUGAUCUUGGAAUGUUUUGGCCAGCAGACUGGUACACAUGCAUUUGUAACUAAUACGCCAACAAAUCACAUCUAUAAUUUAUCGUAAUCAUGGAAAACCUAUUUCAGCUGGAUGAUUUCCUAAGUAAUUUAUUUAACUGUGGUUGUGGAACUGUAUUUUCUGCCUUGAUAUGAAGAACUGUUGGCUUUAAAAGCUGAGCAUGCAACAGGACAGUUAAGUAUGUUGUUUUUAACCAGAGAGAGCAUCUACAGAAAUGUUGCUAGCACAGAAAGGGAAAGUGAGAUGAAGAGGAACUGAAUAUUUGCGUGUAAA